RNAcentral lists this transfer RNA (96 nucleotides) under Candidatus Bathyarchaeota archaeon. RNAcentral's name for it is "tRNA-Arg". It matches the Rfam family "tRNA". From Rfam's summary of the family: Transfer RNA (tRNA) molecules are approximately 80 nucleotides in length. Their secondary structure includes four short double-helical elements and three loops (D, anti-codon, and T loops). Further hydrogen bonds mediate the characteristic L-shaped molecular structure. tRNAs have two regions of fundamental functional importance: the anti-codon, which is responsible for specific mRNA codon recognition, and the 3' end, to which the tRNAs corresponding amino acid is attached (by aminoacyl-tRNA synthetases). tRNAs cope with the degeneracy of the genetic code in two manners: having more than one tRNA (with a specific anti-codon) for a particular amino acid; and 'wobble' base-pairing, i.e. permitting non-standard base-pairing at the 3rd anti-codon position. Lineage: Archaea; Thermoproteati; Candidatus Bathyarchaeota. The record is from RNAcentral.
GGGCCCGUAGCUCAGCUUGGAUGGAGAGGAUGUUUACCCCGGAGCGGCGGCCUUCGGAGCCGUAGGUCGUGGGUUCAAAUCCCACCGGGCCCGCCA